RNAcentral lists this ribosomal RNA (492 nucleotides) under uncultured bacterium. RNAcentral's name for it is "partial 16S ribosomal RNA". It matches the Rfam family "Bacterial small subunit ribosomal RNA", at positions 29 to 507 of the family's 1533-position model. The record is from RNAcentral.
AGUGAACGCUGGCGGUAGGCCUAACGCAUGCAAGUCGAACGGCAGCACAGUAAGAGCUUGCUCUUACGGGUGGCGAGUGGCGGACGGGUGAGGAAUACAUCGGAAUCUACUUUUUCGUGGGGGAUAACGUAGGGAAACUUACGCUAAUACCGCAUACGACCUACGGGUGAAAGCAGGGGAUCUUCGGACCUUGCGCGAUUGAAUGAGCCGAUGUCGGAUUAGCUAGUUGGCGGGGUAAAGGCCCACCAAGGCGACGAUCCGUAGCUGGUCUGAGAGGAUGAUCAGCCACACUGGAACUGAGACACGGUCCAGACUCCUACGGGAGGCAGCAGUGGGGAAUAUUGGACAAUGGGCGCAAGCCUGAUCCAGCCAUACCGCGUGUGUGAAGAAGGCCUUCGGGUUUUAAAGCCCUUUUGUUGGGAAAGAAAAGCAGCAGGUUAAUACCCCGCUGUUCUGACGGUACCCAAAGAAUAAGCACCGGCUAACUUCGUG